Molecule: ribosomal RNA, 496 nt
Filed under: uncultured bacterium
Lineage: Bacteria
Description: partial 16S ribosomal RNA
Rfam family: Bacterial small subunit ribosomal RNA
Source: RNAcentral
GAUGAACUCUGGCGGCGUGCCUAAUACAUGCAAGUCGAGCGAACAGACGAGGAGCUUGCUCCUCUGACGUUAGCGGCGGACGGGUGAGUAACACGUGGAUAACCUACCUAUAAGACUGGGAUAACUUCGGGAAACCGGAGCUAAUACCGGAUAAUAUAUUGAACCGCAUGGUUCAAUAGUGAAAGACGGUUUUGCUGUCACUUAUAGAUGGAUCCGCGCCGCAUUAGCUAGUUGGUAAGGUAACGGCUUACCAAGGCGACGAUGCGUAGCCGACCUGAGAGGGUGAUCGGCCACACUGGAACUGAGACACGGUCCAGACUCCUACGGGAGGCAGCAGUAGGGAAUCUUCCGCAAUGGGCGAAAGCCUGACGGAGCAACGCCGCGUGAGUGAUGAAGGUCUUCGGAUCGUAAAACUCUGUUAUUAGGGAAGAACAAAUGUGUAAGUAACUAUGCACGUCUUGACGGUACCUAAGCAGAAAGCCACGGCUAACUACGU